Molecule: long non-coding RNA, 1118 nt
Filed under: Brachypodium distachyon (stiff brome)
Lineage: Eukaryota; Viridiplantae; Streptophyta; Magnoliopsida; Poales; Poaceae
Description: long non-coding RNA (BDIS_LNC002061)
Source: RNAcentral
GACAAGAGAGGGCUCUCUAGCUAUAGCUAAACUGCGACGAACCAGAACCUAAUUAAGAUCGACAGAUCGAUUGAUAUCUAGAUGGAGAACAAGAACAGCCUGUCACAGCCUCCUCCAGGUGACGAUCGGUCCAUCUUAAUUAAAGUGCCGAUCAAUCUUCAUGUCGAACACUAGUGGUUCUACAGUGAAUUGUAACUGAUCCCAGCUUUAAUUUUUCUUUCCCACUUGAAUUGCUAUAUAUAUAUAUAGGCUACCCGAGGGUGGACUCGGAUCAAGCUGCAGGUGGCAAGAAGAAAUGCUGCUGCUGCGGAUCACGCCGCCGCAGGCCGACCAAACGCGGGGAGACGAGUUUCAUCGAAGGAUGGUAUGCCUAUCCUGCCAUAUAUAAUCCGCUCUUGAAAUCGCAUUUGGAAAUCUAAUUAAUUGGCGUACUCAACGUGGUGUCCUUCUUUUAAUUGUGUUCUUCUUUCAGCAUUGCUGCGCUCUGUUGCUGCUGGCUCUGCGAGCUGUGUUGCGAUUAAAGGGGCCGGGGGCGCCUGAGCGCUGUUACAGAUAAAUUAUUCAGUUCAAGCACAAGUAUAUGCAUGGAGGCUAGCUAGCUUAGCUGCAGCUUGACGUGAGAUCAUGACGGAGAUCUUAAUUCUGUCUUGAAUGUUACAUCUUUUUUUCUUUCUUUUUGGCUGGAAGUCUUUAGACGAUGUUAAACCGACGUGGACCAAGACGGAGAUCUUAAUAUCUGUCUUAAAUUAAUGUCUGUAUUACAUUGCGAUUCAGUGUUUUUCAGCAUGCACUUGUAUUUUCAAUCUUCUUCUUCAUUGAAAUAAGUAUAUUACAAGAGAAAUUUCUAUACUAGCUCUAGAAGUUGAUCUACAUGCAGCUAGCCUAGACGGCUCAUCUAUAAACUCUAUAAAGUUGAAGUCCACUAAGUGCAGUUAAUUUAGCAAGCUGCACAUGCAGUUUAUCCACGUCAGCAUUCAUCUCUCAAACAGCCACGUCACUCUUUUUUCUACGGCACGUUUUUGCUCACACGCUCCCGUUCUCGCUACGUUUUUUCUUUCCGCUCGCACGCUCCCGUUCUCGCUACCCAGCCCACCGGUUCCUGGUCCAGUCUCUCAGCC